UGUUAUCAUUAUCAUUAUAAAAGCUUAAACACAAGUUAUAUUACUUUCUUACAAAAUAAUUCACUUUUCAUCUAAACAAACAUAUUCAAUUUCUCCUUCUCAAUUUGUUCUUUCAUUGAAAACCAUAGAGAAUAUGCUGCAUGAUGGUUACAUCUAUUCUACAAUUUGAGCUCAACAAUGUUGAUGGCUUUCACAACUUUCCUAUUGAGAGUCCAAAAGGUAUCAUCAUUCAUAAUUUUUUGUUUAACAAGCAAAUUUUUUUAUUUUUUUUUACAAUGUUUGAGGG
Molecule: long non-coding RNA, 286 nt
Filed under: Trifolium pratense (red clover)
Lineage: Eukaryota; Viridiplantae; Streptophyta; Magnoliopsida; Fabales; Fabaceae
Description: long non-coding RNA (TPRA_LNC013338)
Source: RNAcentral